This 468-nucleotide ribosomal RNA is filed under the name uncultured bacterium. Its description in RNAcentral is "partial 16S ribosomal RNA". It matches the Rfam family "Bacterial small subunit ribosomal RNA", at positions 28 to 507 of the family's 1533-position model. The record is from RNAcentral.
GACGAACGCUGGCGGCGUGCUUAACACAUGCCAGUCGAACGGAUAGGCCCUGCUUUUGUGGGGUGCUCGAGUGGCGAACGGGUGAGUAACACGUGAGUAACCUGCCCUUGACUUUGGGAUAACUUCAGGAAACUGGGGCUAAUACCGGAUAGGAGCUCCUGCUGCAUGGUGGGGGUUGGAAAGUUUCGGCGGUUGGGGAUGGACUCGCGGCUUAUCAGCUUGUUGGUGGGGUAGUGGCUUACCAAGGCUUUGACGGGUAGCCGGCCUGAGAGGGUGACCGGCCACAUUGGGACUGAGAUACGGCCCAGACUCCUACGGGAGGCAGCAGUGGGGAAUCUUACACAAUGGGCGGAAGCCUGAUGCAGCAACGCCGCGUGCGGGAUGCCGGCCUUCGGGUUGUAAACCGCUUUCGCCUGUGACGAAGCGUGAGUGACGGUAAUGGGUAAAGAAGCACCGGCUAACUACGUG